AUAUUGUGACAAAUCUGGACUGAUAAUUGUUAUUAUUUAACCUAUUAUUUAUUGUAUAUUACAUAUAUCUAUUUGAAUAUUGCCGGGUGGUCAACUUCUCGAGAGUGCACAAACACUGAUAAAUGCAUUGACUUUCAUACUCAUGAUUUAAACUAUUUGUACUUUGCAAGCGAUAAGGGCCAGUUUUAUAUGUAUAUAUAUCUUGGUAAUGUUUACCUAUGAAAUACUUUGAUUAUCCCGUCAUAUAGUGAUUUAUUUUGACAAAUAUCGUCGUGAGAUUCAACUUGUUUACAUCUGCCAUGACACCGUUCUGUACUUUCACUUUGCGAUCUCACAUUAUUAUUUGUUUAAGUUAACACUUUAUCAAUGCAGAUAAAUUGCGUAUUUAUUAUGUUUGUGCCUCCCUUUUCAUUAACAUUGUGUUUAUUUAUGAUAGAACAGGGUUUUCAUUGAUCUCAUUUAAGCAUUAUAUCUAAUGCGUAAGGUUAUGUAAAUUACACCCAAGUUCAUACGCCGUAUCGAGAAAGGAAUUUACUGUCCGUUUAAAAAUAGCAUUAUGUAGAAAUGUCCUUUUAGUUUUAUUUGCUUUUAAAAAUAAUUCGGACAAGAAGGACAAAAUGAGGACAACUCAAUAACGAGUAUUUAUUUAGUAAUAACGAAAUAGGAUUGUCUUCUUGAACGUUUCAAGCCAAAAGACGUAAGAAACGUUGCUUUUGAUUGGACGAUAAGAUGUUUACUCUAACGUCAUAGUAAGUGUCAAAAGACAUAAAUAGGAGCCUGUAGACAGACAUGUCAUUCUGAAUCAAUCUCUUGAACCGUCAACUACCUUUUAUAUUGACCACCCG
RNAcentral lists this long non-coding RNA (845 nucleotides) under Mytilus galloprovincialis (Mediterranean mussel). The record is from RNAcentral. Lineage: Eukaryota; Metazoa; Mollusca; Bivalvia; Mytilida; Mytilidae.